UUUUAAAAACAUGUCUGCAAAUUUUUUAACACUGCUCCUAUCAGAAGGUAAUUCUUCCCUGCACAGGGGCUGACUUUAGUAACUUGCCUUUGACAAAUGCAGCAAAAGUGAUGCUGUAUGAUUUCUGAAGCUAAGUGAAAAAUUGUUUAUUAUAUAAUUUUCUCUGUCCUCGCUCCCUCUCUUCUUUCACCCCUCUCUCCCUCCCCAUUUCUCUCUCUCUCUCUUUCUUCCUCUCUUUUUCUCUCCUUCACUCCCUACCUCCUUCUCCCCUGUUUGAAAGCCAGCCAUUAUAUGACAAGGAAGCCACUUGUCCCUGGAAAAUUCUCUCUAGGUGUAACGGAGCAGCAAUAAAUGCAGUGUCAGCAGACAGCCAGCAUCAACCACCAGACAGCUUUCUGCUCUGCUGGCCUAGAGCUCUUAGUUCCAGAGGGAAGAAUGCUUCUACCAGUAGACACAAUAAUGAUUCCAUUGAACUGAAAAUUAAGACUGCCACCUAGCCACUUUGGGUUUCUCAUACCAUUGAAUCAACAAACAGUGUUGGUUGGGAUGAUUGAUCCCGAAUACCAAGGGAAAAUUGGAUGGAUAUUCCACAAUGGAGAUGCAAAUAAAGAAGUGUAUGGCCCAGUUGCUGAUAGUGGACAACGUGCAACCAGCCUGUGGUCAAAACAAACACAUGGAAGAGAGCAGAGCCAAGAGUAUUACAGAGAAAUGGAGUUGGAGCCUUGAUCAAAUUGAUCCUGAAGGCAUAAAGUCUUGAGAAUUUUCAGUUAUGUCAACUAAAAAAUAUCCCUUUAUUGUUUAAGCCAGUUUGGGUUAAUUUAACGUGA
Mirounga angustirostris (Northern elephant seal) is the source of this 827-nucleotide long non-coding RNA. RefSeq lists it as uncharacterized. NCBI's taxonomy places the organism in Eukaryota, Metazoa, Chordata, Mammalia, Carnivora, Phocidae. The transcript is spliced from 3 exons. The record is from RefSeq and is a predicted model, not a curated record.